Molecule: ribosomal RNA, 1011 nt
Filed under: Triticum aestivum (bread wheat)
Lineage: Eukaryota; Viridiplantae; Streptophyta; Magnoliopsida; Poales; Poaceae
Description: partial small subunit ribosomal RNA
Source: RNAcentral
AUGGGGCGCAACUUGGCGGCGGUGCUCGUCGUGCUUGCCUGCCUCGUUUCCCUCGCGUCGGCGCAGCAGGUCAAGACGACGGACACGCGGUGGAGCUACCGUCUGCCGCUGCCCGACGGCGUCAGCGGCGCCGAGAGCCUCGCGUUCGCCGGCAAGGACGGGGUCUACACCGGCGUCUCCGACGGGCGCGUUCUCAGGUGGGGCGGGAGCGCCGCCGGCUGGACCACAUUCGCUUACAAUGCCAACUACAGGAAAAUUCCUCUGUGCUCGGAUUCUGGGGUGCCGUCGGAACAAAAGGAGAGCAUAUGCGGGCGGCCGCUGGGUGUCCGGUUCAACAGGAAGACCGGCGAGCUCUACAUCGCCGACGCCUACUUGGGGCUCAUGAAGGUCGGCCCGGAAGGCGGCGAAGCCCAGGUGCUAGCGACGGAGGCGAACGGCAUCCCCUUCCACUUCCUCAACGGCCUCGACGUUGAUCAGGCGACCGGCGAUGUCUACUUCACCGACAGCAGCGCCAACUACCCCCGGAGGUUCAACACGGAGAUCAUCAUGAACGCCGACGCGACCGGCCGCCUGCUCAAGUACGACGCGCGCACGGAGCUCGUCACGGUGCUCAAGGCGGAGCUGCCGUACCCGAACGGCGUCGCGCUCAGCCGCGACAGGACGCACCUGGUGGUGGCGCACACGGUGCCGUGCCAGGCGUUCCGGUACUGGCUCAAGGGGCCCAAGGCCGGGCAGUACGAGCUCUUCGCCGACCUGCCGGGGUACCCGGACAACGUGAGGCGCGACGGGCAGGGCGGUUUCUGGGUGGCGCUCAACCAGGAGAAGGCGCGGCUCAACGCGACGGCGGCUCCGGUGAAGCACUUGGUCGGCGUCCGUCUCGGCGCCGACGGCGUGGAGGUCGAGGAGCUGACGGCCGCCAGGGGCGUGACGCUCAGCGAGGUGGCGGAGCAGAACGGCAACAAGCUGUGGCUGGGCUCCGUCGAGCUUGAUUAUAUAGGCCUCUUCGUUUGA